Molecule: long non-coding RNA, 1086 nt
Organism: Canis lupus familiaris (dog)
Lineage: Eukaryota; Metazoa; Chordata; Mammalia; Carnivora; Canidae
Exons: 4
Source: RefSeq, a predicted model, not a curated record
UCUGGACCCUAUCAGUUCCUGACCACAUUCCGUAAAUGCAGGCGUUCGGAAGAAAACAAACUGGUACACAGGUAACAGAAACCCAGCGAUGUACUGAUGGAGAGAUAGGGAAACGGUGACUAAUGAAUUCAGUUCUCUUAUCCCAGGUAAAUGAGGAAGGUGAUGGCCCAGCACUCAUUGCUCAGCCAACUUCGGAGCUGUUGUUCAGAAGUGUUCAACUGCCAACUUCUUCUCACUGGAGCCUCCGCUCUGGGCAGCCCAAGGAGACAAGACCUACGUGGCCUAUUCCUGACAGUCCUCAUCUAAAUGACAACAAAGUCCAGUCUUGCAGCAAUGGGGAAACGUAUUCAAGAGAGAACAGGCAACCUACAAGCUGAGAUCUGUAAUCAAGACUCUCUACUGGCUACAGGGCCAGUAACAGGCCAAGAACUGUUUAUCUGCAGAAGAGAUCAGAGUUUUGCUCCAAAAUCCCAAGGUCCUGUGCGAUAACUCACCUACAAGGACUUCCCAAAGGCUCCAAACAGCAUCUCUGUCCACCACUGGCACUUAAGCCCCAUUGGAUCUGCUGGAUCAUGUGGUCCUGGUGAUAGAGCAGAGGCCACAGCCGCCUGGAUCUGCUGCAGAGCUUUCUCUUGUUCUGUGCCUCACUCAAAACCAGCAGCUCUUUGCAUCUAUCAACAAAUAGUCUGGAGUAACACAUCCAAAUGAGGAAUUUGAUGCUUCCAAAACCAAAAGGCUCACUAGGCAUUGUGCCUUGUAGUGGGGGUAGGGGUGGGGUGUGACAUGUGACUACAUAUAUGUGUACAUGCAUGUGUGCAUGCACUUCCAAUCCUGCCUUUGAGAAAUAGGAUCAUCCCUUUCUUUAGGAAGAGGAAAAUGGAUUUGAAGGUUAAUGUAAUUUGCUCUGAGUCACUUACAUAGCAAAGAGCAGAAAGAAAGUUCGAGCAUAAGAUACAUUUGGUCUAUUUGAAAGAUUGUGUUCUUUCAGUUACAUCCUACUUUUUUUUCCUUGUACCCUCUCCCCUCUCUGGCUCUAUGGAAAAACUAGGCACUGUCGAGUAGCAAAUACAACAAUGAUUAAGUGCA